This 489-nucleotide ribosomal RNA is filed under the name Triticum aestivum (bread wheat). RNAcentral describes it as "partial small subunit ribosomal RNA". Lineage: Eukaryota; Viridiplantae; Streptophyta; Magnoliopsida; Poales; Poaceae. The record is from RNAcentral.
AUGAUAUGUCUCUUUUGGAAUUGUAGGGGGGCAGGGAAGAAAGGAAUGAGCUCCUGUCUCUCUUAUAUCAUUAGAGAUCAUUCCCUGGACUUUAUUGACUCACAAAAAAGUUAUAUGGACAGUUUCUUUAGGAAAAUUGACCCAUACCAGACAUAUGAAUGGAACUUUGUUCCAUCUAUAGGCAGAUCUGGGGGAAUCCUUUGUGGAGUGAGAAAAGAGAGGUUUGAAGGAGUAGUGUGGAAGAAUGGCAGGUUUAUCCUACAAGCUUCAUUUUUUGAUAAUAAAGAAAAAAAGAAAUGGACAUUGUGCACUGUGUAUGGGGCUGCACAUGAUAAAGAUGAUGAUGACUUUCUAACUGAACUUUCUGAGUUCUUUAGCCAUAUAUCACCCCCUUUACUUAUUGGGGGAGACUUUAAUAUCCUUAGGCAUGCUGGGGAAAAAACAAACCAUGGCAACAUUCCACUUAUUCUGAUUUGUUUAAUUCUGUGA